This 463-nucleotide ribosomal RNA is filed under the name uncultured Klebsiella sp. RNAcentral's name for it is "bacterial SSU rRNA". It matches the Rfam family "Bacterial small subunit ribosomal RNA", at positions 338 to 795 of the family's 1533-position model. The record is from RNAcentral. Lineage: Bacteria; Pseudomonadati; Pseudomonadota; Gammaproteobacteria; Enterobacterales; Enterobacteriaceae.
CCUACGGGAGGCAGCAGUGGGGAAUAUUGCACAAUGGGCGCAAGCCUGAUGCAGCCAUGCCGCGUGUGUGAAGAAGGCCUUCGGGUUGUAAAGCACUUUCAGCGGGGAGGAAGGCGUUAAGGUUAAUAACCUUGGCGAUUGACGUUACCCGCAGAAGAAGCACCGGCUAACUCCGUGCCAGCAGCCGCGGUAAUACGGAGGGUGCAAGCGUUAAUCGGAAUUACUGGGCGUAAAGCGCACGCAGGCGGUCUGUCAAGUCGGAUGUGAAAUCCCCGGGCUCAACCUGGGAACUGCAUUCGAAACUGGCAGGCUAGAGUCUUGUAGAGGGGGGUAGAAUUCCGGGUGUAGCGGUGAAAUGCGUAGAGAUCUGGAGGAAUACCGGUGGCGAAGGCGGCCCCCUGGACAAAGACUGACGCUCAGGUGCGAAAGCGUGGGGAGCAAACAGGAUUAUACCCCGGUAGUC